RNAcentral lists this ribosomal RNA (253 nucleotides) under uncultured bacterium. RNAcentral describes it as "partial 16S ribosomal RNA". It matches the Rfam family "Bacterial small subunit ribosomal RNA", at positions 524 to 776 of the family's 1533-position model. The record is from RNAcentral.
UACGAAGGGGGCUAGCGUUACUCGGAAUUAUUGGGCGUAAAGCGUGCGUAGGCGGUUAGGUAAGUUAAAAGUGAAAGCCCAGAGCUCAACUCUGGAAUUGCUUUUAAGACUGCUUAGCUAGAGUUUUGGAGAGGAUAGCAGAAUUCCUAGUGUAGAGGUGAAAUUCGUAGAUAUUAGGAGGAAUACCGGAGGCGAAAGCGGUUAUCUGGCCAAAAACUGACGCUGUUGCACGAAAGCGUGGGGAGCAAACAGG